GAUGAAGAACGCAGCGAAAUGCGAUACGUAAUGUGAAUUGCAGAAUUCAGUGAAUCAUCGAAUCUUUGAACGCACAUUGCGCUCUCUGGUAUUCCGGAGAGCAUGCUUGUUUGAGUAUCAGUAAACACCUCAACUUCCAUAUCUUUUUUGAAAUGGGAGUUGGACUUGAGUGAUCCCAACGCUUUUCCUCACCGAAAAGUGGCGGGUUACUUGAAAUGCAGGUGCAGCUGGACUUUUCUCUGAGCUAUAAGCAUAUCUAUUUAGUCUGCCUAAAAAACAGAUUAUUACCUUUGCUGCAGCUAACAUAAAGGAGAUUAGUUCUUGUGCUGACUGAUGCAGGAUUCACAAAGACAGGCUUCGGCCGACUUUGUAAACUCGAUCUCAAAUCAAGUAAGACUACCCGCUGAACUUAAGCAUAUCAAUAAGCGGAGGA
RNAcentral lists this unclassified non-coding RNA (433 nucleotides) under soil metagenome. RNAcentral describes it as "partial contains 5.8S ribosomal RNA, internal transcribed spacer 2, and large subunit ribosomal RNA". The stretch from base 1 to 120 matches the Rfam family "5.8S ribosomal RNA", at positions 35 to 154 of the family's 154-position model. The record is from RNAcentral.